This 1444-nucleotide ribosomal RNA is filed under the name metagenome. RNAcentral's name for it is "bacterial SSU rRNA". It matches the Rfam family "Bacterial small subunit ribosomal RNA". The record is from RNAcentral.
AGAGUUUGAUCCUGGCUCAGGAUGAACGCUGGCGGCGUGCUUAACACAUGCAAGUCGAACGCACCUUCGGGUGAGUGGCGGACGGGUGAGUAACGCGUGAGAAUCUGCCCUCAGGAGGGGGAUAACGGCUGGAAACGGCCGCUAAUACCCCAUAUGCCGAGAGGUGAAACGAGUUUUCGCCUGAGGAUGAGCUCGCGUCUGAUUAGCUAGUUGGUGGGGUAAGAGCCUACCAAGGCAUCGAUCAGUAGCUGGUCUGAGAGGAUGAUCAGCCACACUGGGACUGAGACACGGCCCAGACUCCUACGGGAGGCAGCAGUGGGGAAUUUUCCGCAAUGGGCGAAAGCCUGACGGAGCAACGCCGCGUGAGGGAUGAAGGCCUCUGGGCUGUAAACCUCUUUUCUCAAGGAAGAAGAUCUGACGGUACUUGAGGAAUAAGCCACGGCUAAUUCCGUGCCAGCAGCCGCGGUAAUACGGGAGUGGCAAGCGUUAUCCGGAAUUAUUGGGCGUAAAGCGUCCGCAGGCGGUCUUGAAAGUCUGUUGUUAAAGCGUGGAGCUUAACUCCAUUUCAGCAAUGGAAACUAGAAGACUAGAGUGUGGUAGGGGCAGAGGGAAUUCCCGGUGUAGCGGUGAAAUGCGUAGAUAUCGGGAAGAACACCAGUGGCGAAGGCGCUCUGCUGGGCCAUAACUGACGCUCAUGGACGAAAGCCAGGGGAGCGAAAGGGAUUAGAUACCCCUGUAGUCCUGGCCGUAAACGAUGAACACUAGGUGUCGGGGGAAUCGACCCCCUCGGUGUCGUAGCCAACGCGUUAAGUGUUCCGCCUGGGGAGUACGCACGCAAGUGUGAAACUCAAAGGAAUUGACGGGGGCCCGCACAAGCGGUGGAGUAUGUGGUUUAAUUCGAUGCAACGCGAAGAACCUUACCAGGGUUUGACAUCCUGCGAACCCCUUGGAAACGAGGGGGUGCCUUCGGGAGCGCAGAGACAGGUGGUGCAUGGCUGUCGUCAGCUCGUGUCGUGAGAUGUUGGGUUAAGUCCCGCAACGAGCGCAACCCACGUCUUUAGUUGCCAGCAUUCAGUUGGGCACUCUAGAGAGACCGCCGGUGAUAAACCGGAGGAAGGUGUGGAUGACGUCAAGUCAUCAUGCCCCUUACAUCCUGGGCUACACACGUACUACAAUGCUACGGACAAAGGGCAGCAAACUCGCGAGAGCUAGCAAAUCCCAUAAACCGUGGCUCAGUUCAGAUCGUAGGCUGCAACUCGCCUACGUGAAGGAGGAAUCGCUAGUAAUCGCAGGUCAGCAUACUGCGGUGAAUACGUUCCCGGGCCUUGUACACACCGCCCGUCACACCAUGGAAGUUGGCCACGCCCGAAGUCGUUACUCCAACCCUUGUGGAGGAGGACGCCGAAGGUGGGGCUGAUGACUGGGGUGAAGUCGUAACAAGGUA